RNAcentral lists this non-coding RNA (28 nucleotides) under Mus musculus (house mouse). Lineage: Eukaryota; Metazoa; Chordata; Mammalia; Rodentia; Muridae. The record is from RNAcentral.
UGGGAAGCUUGUUGGGUUAGAGUGUCUC